This 253-nucleotide ribosomal RNA is filed under the name uncultured bacterium. RNAcentral describes it as "partial 16S ribosomal RNA". It matches the Rfam family "Bacterial small subunit ribosomal RNA", at positions 524 to 776 of the family's 1533-position model. The record is from RNAcentral.
UACGUAGGGGGCAAGCGUUGUCCGGAUUUAUUGGGCGUAAAGAGCGUGUAGGCGGCCAGGUAGGUCAGCUGUGAAAACUCGAGGCUCAACCUCGAGACGCCGGUUGAAACCAUCUGGCUAGAGUCCGGAAGAGGAGAGUGGAAUUCCUGGUGUAGCGGUGAAAUGCGCAGAUAUCAGGAAGAACACCCGUGGCUAAGGCGGCUCUCUAGUACGGUACUGACGCUGAGACGCGAAAGCGUGGGGAGCGAGCAGG